UCCCUGUUACCAGGGCAGUCUGAUUAGAAAAAUUCAACUAAUCACAAGGGUUGCGCUCGUUGAUGGACUUAACCAAACAUCUCACGACACGAGCUGACGACGGCCAUGCAUCACCUGUCACUUGGUUCAAUAAAGCACUCUCUACUUUCGUAGAAAUUCCAAGGAUGUCAAACCUGGGUAAGGUUCUUCGCUUACCAUCGAAUUAAACAACACGCUCCACCGCUUGUGCGGGUCCCCGUCAAUUCCUUUAUGUUUUAGUCUUGCGACCGUACUCCACAGGCGGGAUGCUUAACGCGUUAGCUUCGCUACAUCCGGGGUCGAUACCGAAUACAGCUAGCAUCCAUCGUUUACGGCGUGGACUAC
RNAcentral lists this unclassified non-coding RNA (363 nucleotides) under uncultured bacterium. RNAcentral describes it as "contains 16S-23S intergenic spacer region". The record is from RNAcentral.